Molecule: ribosomal RNA, 545 nt
Filed under: uncultured bacterium
Lineage: Bacteria
Description: bacterial SSU rRNA
Rfam family: Bacterial small subunit ribosomal RNA
Source: RNAcentral
UGGGGAAUAUUGCACAAUGGGCGCAAGCCUGAUGCAGCAAUGCCGCGUGAGUGAAGACGGCCUUAGGGUUGUAAAACUCUUUCGCUAGGGAAGAUAAUGACGGUACCUAGUAAAGAAGCCCCGGCUAACUCCGUGCCAGCAGCCGCGGUAAUACGGAGGGGGCUAGCGUUGUUCGGAAUUACUGGGCGUAAAGCGCGCGUAGGCGGACUGAUCAGUCAGGGGGUGAAAUCCCCGGGGCUCAACCCCGGAACUGCCUUUGAUACUGUCAGUCUUGAGUCCGGAAGAGGCGAGUGGAAUACCGAGUGUAGAGGUGAAAUUCGUAGAUAUCAGGAGGAACACCGGUGGCGAAGGCGGCUACCCUGGACCGGUUCUGACGCUGAGGCGCGAAAGCGUGGGGAGCAAAACAGGAUUAGAUACCCCUGGUAGUCCACGCUGUAAAACGAUGGGUGCUAGAUGUUGGGAUUUUCGGAUUUCAGUGUCGCAGCUAACGCAUUAAGCACUCCGCCUGGGAGUACGGCCGCAAGGUUAAAACUCAAAGGAAUUGA